ACUCCUACGGGAGGCAGCAGUGGGAAUAUUGCACAAUGGGGAAGCCCAUCGAUGCAGCCAUGCCGCGCUGUGUGAAGAAGGCCAUUCGGGCUUGUUAAAGACACUUUUCAGUUAGGGAGGAAGGUAGUGUAGUUAACACCUGCAUUAUUUGACGUUACCUACAGAAGAAGCACCGGCUAACUCCGUGCCAGCAGCCGCGGUAAUACGGAGGGUGCGAGCGUUAAUCGGAAUUACUGGGCGUAAAGCGCAUGCAGGCGGCCUGUUAAGUCAGAUGUGAAAGCCC
Molecule: ribosomal RNA, 283 nt
Filed under: uncultured bacterium
Lineage: Bacteria
Description: partial 16S ribosomal RNA
Rfam family: Bacterial small subunit ribosomal RNA
Source: RNAcentral